RNAcentral lists this ribosomal RNA (385 nucleotides) under uncultured bacterium. RNAcentral's name for it is "bacterial SSU rRNA". It matches the Rfam family "Bacterial small subunit ribosomal RNA", at positions 419 to 793 of the family's 1533-position model. The record is from RNAcentral.
CGGGUUGUAAAGCACUUUCAGUAGGGAGGAAGGUAGUGUAGUUAACACCUGCAUUAUUUGACGUUACCUACAGAAGAAGCACCGGCUAACUCCGUGCCAGCAGCCGCGGUAAUACGGAGGGUGCGAGCGUUAAUCGGAAUUACUGGGCGUAAAGCGCAUGCAGGCGGCCUGUUAAGUCAGAUGUGAAAGCCCGGGGCGUUAACCUCGGAAUUGCAUUUGAAACUGGCAGGCUAGAGUCUUGUAGAGGGGGGUAGGAAUUUCAGGUGUAGCGGUGAAAUGCGUAGAGAUCUGAAGGAAUACCAGUGGCGAAGGCGGCCCCCUCGGACAAAGACUGACGCUCAGAUGCGAAAGCGUGGGGAGCAAACAGGAUUAGAUACCCUGGUAG